Molecule: ribosomal RNA, 253 nt
Filed under: uncultured bacterium
Lineage: Bacteria
Description: partial 16S ribosomal RNA
Rfam family: Bacterial small subunit ribosomal RNA
Source: RNAcentral
UACGAAGGGGGCUAGCGUUGCUCGGAAUUACUGGGCGUAAAGCGCACGUAGGCGGCUUCUUAAGUCGGUGGUGAAAUCCUGGAGCUCAACUCCAGAACUGCCUUCGAUACUGGGAAGCUCGAGUCCGGGAGAGGUGAGUGGAACUGCGAGUGUAGAGGUGAAAUUCGUAGAUAUUCGCAAGAACACCGGUGGCGAAGGCGGCAUCCUGGACCGACACUGACACUGAGGAGCGAAAGCCAGGGGAGCAAACGGG